GAGACCUCAGGUCAGGCGGGGCUACUCGCUGAGUU
This 35-nucleotide ribosomal RNA is filed under the name Oxytropis pilosa. RNAcentral's name for it is "partial 25S ribosomal RNA". The record is from RNAcentral. Lineage: Eukaryota; Viridiplantae; Streptophyta; Magnoliopsida; Fabales; Fabaceae.